GCAAACUUGGUCAUUUAGAGGAAGUAAAAGUCGUAACAAGGUUUCCGUAGGUGAACCUGCGGAAGGAUCAUUAACAAGUCCGUGUGACACGUGUCCGCUGCGUGCUCGUGACAUUACGUUGCGUGUGCGCAGCAGCAAGUUUGAUUGUGACUGAUCAACGCUUGAAAGAAUGAACAACUUUUAACAAUGGAUCUCUAGGCUCUUCAGAUGUGUAUAAGAGACAGGCAAACUUGGUCAUUUAGAGGAAGUAAAAGUCGUAACAAGGUUUCCGUAGGUGAACCUGCGGAAGGAUCAUUAACAAGUCCGUGUGACACGUGUCCGCUGCGUGCUCGUGACAUUACGUUGCGUGUGCGCAGCAGCAAAUUUGAUUGUGACUGAUCAACGCUUGAAAGAAUGAACAACUUUUAACAAUGGAUCUCUAGGCUCUUGCAUCGAUGAAGAACGCAGC
Molecule: unclassified non-coding RNA, 448 nt
Filed under: uncultured fungus
Lineage: Eukaryota; Fungi
Description: partial contains small subunit ribosomal RNA, internal transcribed spacer 1, and 5.8S ribosomal RNA
Rfam family: Eukaryotic small subunit ribosomal RNA (bases 1-73)
Source: RNAcentral